ACGCUGGUAGGUUAACUAGGGACAUGAGGUAUAGAUAUAGACACGCUGGUGGGUUAACCAGGUUAACCAGGGACAUGAGGUAUAGAUAUAGACACGCUGGUGGGUUAACUAGGGACAUGAGGUAUAGAUAUAGACACGCUGGUGGGUUAACCAGGUUAACUAGGGACAUGAGGUAUAGAUAUAGACACGCUGGUGAGUUAACCAGGUUAACUAGGGACAUGAGGUAUAGGUAUAGACACGCUGGUGGGUUAACCAGGUUAACUAGGGACAUGAGGUAUAGGUAUAGACACGCUGGUGGGUUAACCAGGUUAACUAGGGACAUGAGGUAUAGAUAUAGACACGCUGGUGGGUUAACCAGGUUAACUAGGGACAUGAGGUAUAGGUAUAGACACGCUGGUGGGUUAACCAGGUUAACUAGGGACAUGAGGUAUAGGUAUAGACACGCUGGUGGGUUAACCAGGUUAACUAGGGACAUGAGGUAUAGAUAUAGACACGCUGGUGGGUUAACCAGGUUAACUAGGGACAUGAGGUAUAGGUAUAGACACGCUGGUGGGUUAACCAGGUUAACUAGGGACAUGAGGUAUAGAUAUAGACACGCUGGUGGGUUAACCAGGUUAACUAGGGACAUGAGGUAUAGGUAUAGACACGCUGGUGGGUUAACCAGGUUAACUAGGGACAUGAGGUAUAGAUAUAGACACGCUGGUGGGUUAACCAGGUUAACUAGGGACAUGAGGUAUAGGUAUAGACACGCUGGUGGGUUAACCAGGUUAACCAGGGACAUGAGUUAUAGAUAUACAUGUAGACAAGCUCACACACCAGCUGCUCUAAAGGGCCCACUCCUCAUGGGUUCAUAGUUUGACCUUUGACCUUUGUUUCGUCCUCAAUAAGACACAGCAUCCAGGUCCUGGUCUGAACCCAUGGAUACUAUUGGCUGCUGGGUUGGGUCCUGGUCUGAACCCACGGAUACUAUUGGCUGCUGGGUUGGGUCCUGGUCUGAACCCACGGAUACUAGUGGCUGCUGGGUUGGGUCCUGGUCUGAACCCACGGAUACUAGUGGCUGCUGGGUUGGGUCCUGGUCUGAACCCACGGAUUGUGAUGUCGUUAUGGGCUAUUGUGAUGUCGUUAUGGGCUAUUGUGAUGUCGUUA
Long non-coding RNA from Oncorhynchus keta (chum salmon), 1146 nucleotides. RefSeq lists it as uncharacterized. The transcript has 4 exons. The record is from RefSeq and is a predicted model, not a curated record. Lineage: Eukaryota; Metazoa; Chordata; Actinopteri; Salmoniformes; Salmonidae.